GGAACUCCUGAGGCGCCAGCCCUCAGGUUCAUUCAGGAACUGAUUUGACUCUAUAUAACUCCGGAGACUCACAAUCACUUUGACCAACUUUGCAUCACCUCGAUCUUUCAAUGCAGUUAGAAAAUCUCUAGUAAUAAUAUCCAGCAGCUUUCUGAAUUGUGUCUUAUAUCUUUUGUGUAGAGCAAAACCUGCCAUUUCAAGAAAAGCCUGCAAUGCAGCUGCGGUGUAUAAAUUUGCAGGAAAAACAUUUAAGAAUCUGGCUAUCCAUGCCCAACCUUCUCUGAUCCCAUGCAAGUUUUGGCAGCCG
RNAcentral lists this unclassified non-coding RNA (307 nucleotides) under Hevea brasiliensis (rubber tree). Lineage: Eukaryota; Viridiplantae; Streptophyta; Magnoliopsida; Malpighiales; Euphorbiaceae. The record is from RNAcentral.